UACGGAAGGCAGCAGUGGGGAAUAUUGCACAAUGGGCGCAAGCCUGAUGCAGCCAUGCCGCGUGUAUGAAGAAGGCCUUCGGGUUGUAAAGUACUUUCAGUCGUGAGGAAGGUGUUAAGGUUAAUAACCUUAGCAAUUGACGUUAGCGACAGAAGAAGCACCGGCUAACUCCGUGCCAGCAGCCGCGGUAAUACGGAGGGUGCGAGCGUUAAUCGGAAUUACUGGGCGUAAAGGGCACGCAGGCGGUUAAUUAAGUUGGAUGUGAAAUCCCCGGGCUUAACCUGGGAAUGGCAUUCAAGCUGGUUAGCUAGAGUCUUGUAGAGGGGGUUAGAAUUCCAUGUGUAGCGGUGAAAUGCGUAGAGAUGUGGAGGAAUACCGGUGGCGAAGGCGGCCCCUGGACAAGACUGACGCUCAUGUGCGAAAGCGUGGGGAGCAAAC
Molecule: ribosomal RNA, 438 nt
Filed under: uncultured bacterium
Lineage: Bacteria
Description: bacterial SSU rRNA
Rfam family: Bacterial small subunit ribosomal RNA
Source: RNAcentral